RNAcentral lists this ribosomal RNA (837 nucleotides) under Triticum aestivum (bread wheat). Its description in RNAcentral is "partial small subunit ribosomal RNA". Lineage: Eukaryota; Viridiplantae; Streptophyta; Magnoliopsida; Poales; Poaceae. The record is from RNAcentral.
GACUUCAGACUGAUAAGCCUAUGUAACGUGCUGUAUAAGAUCGUGUCUAAGUGCCUGGUCAAUAGGCUGAGACCGUUGUUGGGUGAGCUGAUCUUAGAGAACCAAAGCGCAUUCAUCCCUGGGAGGCUUAUCUCAGAUAACUCUAUAAUUUCUUUUGAGUGUAUCCAUCAUAUACAGAAUAUGAAACCAAAUAGUACUGCUGCUUGUGCUUACAAGUUGGAUCUCUCGAAAGCAUAUGACCGUGUAGAUUGGGAGUUUUUGGAGCAAGCCCUAAUAAAAUGGGGGUUCUCGAUGGAGUGGAUUAAAUGGAUCAUGGCUUGUGUGAAGUCUAUGAAAUACUCGGUUAAGUUCAAUGGGAAGCUAUUGGAGGCGUUUUCCCCUACUAGGGGACUAAGGCAAGGUGACCCCCUGUCUCCCUUCCUCUUCCUGUUUAUAGCUGACGCUUUGUCCUCCUUGUUAUCCAAGUCAGUGCAAGAGGGAGAGUUGAAGGGGGUAUCAAUCUGCCGUGGUGCUCCAGUCAUCUCACAUCUAUUGUUCGCAGAUGAUACUAUGUUACUGUUUGAAGCAUCAAGUCACCAAGCAACCACUGUGAAAGGCUUGUUGAACACUUAUGCCAGAGCGACGGGUCAACUUAUUAACCCCGAAAAGUGUUCCAUCCUUUUUUCGGACAACUGUUCGGAGGCGGUGGCGGAAGAGAUGAAGGGGAUUUUGGAAGUAACACAACAAGUCUUUGAGCCUAAAUACCUGGGUUUACCUGUACCGGAAGGAAGAGUUCACAAAGGGCAAUUUAAGACUGUGCAGGACAGGUUAAGGAAAAGAUUGGUGGACUGGAGUGAG